GCGUAUGCAACUUGCCCUGCACAGGAGGAUAACCCGUCGAAGGACGGACUAAUACUGCGUACACUCACAGGGAGGCAUCUCUUGGUGAGGAAAGAAAUUCGGUGUAGGAUAGGCAUGCGUCCCAUUAGCUAGUUGGUGAGGUAACGGCUCACCAAGGCGACGAUGGGUAGGGGAACUGAGAGGUUUAUCCCCCACACUGGUACUGAGACACGGACCAGACUCCUACGGGAGGCAGCAGUGAGGAAUAUUGGUCAAUGGGCGAGAGCCUGAACCAGCCAAGUCGCGUGAAGGAUGACUGUCUUAUGGAUUGUAAACUUCUUUUGUAUGGGAAUAACGGGGCGGACGUGUCCGCUUGUGAAUGUACCAUACGAAUAAGCAUCGGCUAACUCCGUGCCAGCAGCCGCGGUAAUACGGAGGAUGCGAGCGUUAUCCGGAUUUAUUGGGUUUAAAGGGUGCGUAGGCGGCUUGUUAAGUCAGCGGUGAAAUCGUGGGGCUCAACCCCGCAACUGCCGUUGAAACUGGCGAGCUUGAGUGUAGAUGAGGUAGGCGGAAUUCGUGGUGUAGCGGUGAAAUGCAUAGAUAUCACGAGGAACUCCGAUUGCGCAGGCAGCUUACUAAGGUACAACUGACGCUGAAGCACGAAAGCGUGGGUAUCAAACAGGAUUAGAUACCCUGGUAGUCCACGCAGUAAACGAUGAUAACUGGGCGUAUGCGAUAUACAGUAUGCUCCUAAGCGAAAGCGUUAAGUUAUCCACCUGGGGAGUACGCCGGCAACGGUGAAACUCAAAGGAAUUGACGG
Molecule: ribosomal RNA, 799 nt
Filed under: uncultured Porphyromonas sp.
Lineage: Bacteria; Pseudomonadati; Bacteroidota; Bacteroidia; Bacteroidales; Porphyromonadaceae
Description: bacterial SSU rRNA
Rfam family: Bacterial small subunit ribosomal RNA
Source: RNAcentral